CCCUUAGAUGUUCUGGGCUGCACGCGUGCUACACUGAUAUUGCCAAUAUGUCCUUCUUAUCCGAAAUGGAUUGGGUAAUCAAGUAAUGAAAUUUCAUGCUUGGAAUCGGUAAUUGCAAUUUUAUCGUGAACGAGGAAUUCCUAGUAAGCACUAGUCAUCAGCUAAUGUUGAUUAUGUCCCUGCCCUUUGUACACACCGCCCGUCGCUACUACUGAUUGGGUGUUCAAGUGAGAUGCUUAGACCCUUGUUGCAUGGUUCAUUAUUGUGCUCCGAAAGGAAAAAGUUUCAAGCUUGAGUGUCUAGAGGAAGUAAAAGUCGUAACA
Molecule: ribosomal RNA, 323 nt
Filed under: uncultured eukaryote
Lineage: Eukaryota
Description: partial 18S ribosomal RNA
Rfam family: Eukaryotic small subunit ribosomal RNA
Source: RNAcentral